GGCAAGACAGUGGUGGUGCUGGUUGUAGAAACAGGCUGUCUCUGCCCAGCCAUCUUCUGCCUUUAUGCCUUCCUCAAUCCCUGCUUCCCACUGAAGCCACCUGGAACCACCCAACCAUCAACAACCACCACCAUGAUGUCAGCAGCCAUCAAUAUUGAGGCAAACUUCCACCAGCAAAAAGUUUACAACUCACUGAAAGCUCAGAUGAUGGUGUGUCUGUGAAGAUCAUUCCAGAAGAAAUCAGCAUUUGAAUUGGUGGACUGAGUAGAGAAGAUGACCAACCUUCACCAAUGCAGUUAUAGAGUCCUGUUCUCAGAGGAAAACUUAGCAAAAAUCCCAAUA
Long non-coding RNA from Lutra lutra (Eurasian river otter), 342 nucleotides. RefSeq lists it as uncharacterized. NCBI's taxonomy places the organism in Eukaryota, Metazoa, Chordata, Mammalia, Carnivora, Mustelidae. The transcript is spliced from 4 exons. The record is from RefSeq and is a predicted model, not a curated record.